AUCCAGCUGACGAGUCUCAAACAGGACAAAAAGCGCGUCCUGGAU
Molecule: non-coding RNA, 45 nt
Organism: Schistosoma haematobium
Lineage: Eukaryota; Metazoa; Platyhelminthes; Trematoda; Strigeidida; Schistosomatidae
Source: Rfam